UCUGAAAAUAUCACUCAAUAA
This 21-nucleotide non-coding RNA is filed under the name Caenorhabditis elegans. Lineage: Eukaryota; Metazoa; Nematoda; Chromadorea; Rhabditida; Rhabditidae. The record is from RNAcentral.